CCUACGGGGGGCAGCAGUGGGGAAUAUUGGACAAUGGGGGCAACCCUGAUCCAGCCAUGCCGCGUGUGUGAAGAAGGCCCUCGGGUUGUAAAGCACUUUCAGUGAGGAAGAACGCCUGGUGGUUAAUACCCAUCAGGAAAGACAUCACUCACAGAAGAAGCACCGGCUAACUCCGUGCCAGCAGCCGCGGUAAUACGGAGGGUGCGAGCGUCAAUCGGAAUUACUGGGCGUAAAGCGCGCGUAGGUGGCUUGAUAAGCCGGUUGUGAAAGCCCCGGGCUCAACCUGGGAACGGCAUCCGGAACUGUCAAGCUAGAGGGCAGGAGAGGAAGGUAGAAUUCCCGGUGUAGCGGUGAAAUGCGUAGAGAUCGGGAGGAAUACCAGUGGCGAAGGCGGCCUUCUGGACUGACACUGACACUGAGGUGCGAAAGCGUGGGUAGCAAACAGGAUUAGAUACCCGAGUAGUC
Molecule: ribosomal RNA, 465 nt
Filed under: Vreelandella stevensii
Lineage: Bacteria; Pseudomonadati; Pseudomonadota; Gammaproteobacteria; Oceanospirillales; Halomonadaceae
Description: partial 16S ribosomal RNA
Rfam family: Bacterial small subunit ribosomal RNA
Source: RNAcentral